GACGAACGCUGGCGGCGUGCUUAACACAUGCAAGUCGAACGGAAAGGCCCUGCUUUUGUGGGGUGCUCGAGUGGCGAACGGGUGAGUAACACGUGAGUAACCUGCCCUUGACUUUGGGAUAACUUCAGGAAACUGGGGCUAAUACCGGAUAGGAGCUCCUGCUUCAUGGUGGGGGUUGGAAAGUUUCGGCGGUUGGGGAUGGACUCGCGGCUUAUCAGCUUGUUGGUGGGGUAGUGGCUUACCAAGGCUUUGACGGGUAGCCGGCCUGAGAGGGUGACCGGCCACAUUGGGACUGAGAUACGGCCCAGACUCCUACGGGAGGCAGCAGUGGGGAAUAUUGCACAAUGGGCGGAAGCCUGAUGCAGCAACGCCGCGUGCGGGAUGACGGCCUUCGGGUUGUAAACCGCUUUCGCCUGUGACGAAGCGUGAGUGAAGGUAAUGGGUAAAGAAGCACCGGCUAACUACGUG
This 468-nucleotide ribosomal RNA is filed under the name uncultured bacterium. Its description in RNAcentral is "partial 16S ribosomal RNA". It matches the Rfam family "Bacterial small subunit ribosomal RNA", at positions 28 to 507 of the family's 1533-position model. The record is from RNAcentral.